Molecule: RNase P RNA, 324 nt
Filed under: Pseudozobellia thermophila
Lineage: Bacteria; Pseudomonadati; Bacteroidota; Flavobacteriia; Flavobacteriales; Flavobacteriaceae
Description: Bacterial RNase P class A
Rfam family: Bacterial RNase P class A
About the family: Ribonuclease P (RNase P) is a ubiquitous endoribonuclease, found in archaea, bacteria and eukarya as well as chloroplasts and mitochondria. Its best characterised activity is the generation of mature 5'-ends of tRNAs by cleaving the 5'-leader elements of precursor-tRNAs.
Source: Rfam by way of RNAcentral
UGAGCAGGCCACCUUGUCGCUGCCAUCCGAAUUAUUUCGGGUGGGAGAGGAAAGUCCGGACACCACAGUGCGGCAUAGCGGGUAACGCCCGUCGUCCGUUUUUUUGACGGAUAGGACAAGUGCAGCAGAAAGAAUGUACAGGUAAGGCUGUAGUGAAAUCAGGUAAACUCUAUGCGGUGAAACGCCAUGUAUAUCGGUGUUUGAGGGUUGCACGCCCAAGCCGAAGGGUAGGCGGUUCGAUUCCAGCAGCAAUGUUGGAACUAGAUAAAUGACAGGGAAGGGCCUUCGGGCCUUACAGAAUCCGGCUUAUGGCCUGCUUAUUUU